Molecule: ribosomal RNA, 393 nt
Filed under: uncultured bacterium
Lineage: Bacteria
Description: bacterial SSU rRNA
Rfam family: Bacterial small subunit ribosomal RNA
Source: RNAcentral
GACGAACGCUGGCGGCGUGCUUAACACAUGCAAGUCGAGCGGUAAGGCCCUUUCGGGGGUACACGAGCGGCGAACGGGUGAGUGACACGUGGGUGACCUGCCCUCAGCUCUGGGAUAAGCCUGGGAAACCGGGUCUAAUACUGGAUAUGACUCCAUGACGCAUGUUGUGGGGUGGAAAGCCUUGUGCGGCUGAGGAUGGGCCCGCGGCCUAUCAGCUUGUUGGUGGGGUGAUGGCCUACCAAGGCGACGACGGGUAGCCGGCCUGAGAGGGCGACCGGCCACACUGGGACUGAGACACGGCCCAGACUCCUACGGGAGGCAGCAGUGGGGGAAUCUUGCGCAAUGGGCGAAAAGCCUGACGCAGCGACGCCGCGUGAGGGAUGACGGCCUCGG